GGCAUUUUGCUUUUCAAAUUAAAGCACCUCAAAACUGCUCUCUAGUACUCAACCAAACGCAGACUGACUACACUCUCAAAAGGUAAACAGAAGUGUGACCAGCUGUGUAAAGAUACCACUUUCCUCUUUAGUACACUGAGACCAAACUGAGAAGCGGAAAAAGCAUCAUCAGAUUUGCCUAUUGUUCGUAACUGCAGAAGAUGUUACCAGAAUUACAAGAAAUUUUACGGAAAAAAGCAAAUGACGAGCUGGUCAAAGCAUCCAUUUUCUCCUCUUUUCCACUGAGCAUUUUGCUAAUCCCACUGGAAGCUUUGAUUGACAAGGACUUUUUAUGUCCGUGCGAUGCUGAGCAAAAUGCAGCCAUAACCAAUCUCAUCUUCGCUGCACCUUUCUUCUUUGCUUUCGGAUUAAUGUUUGUUUUGCAGCCAAUGAAAUGUCUAUAUCCGGAAUCUUAUAAUUAUUUUCCAAAUUUCUUAUUUUGCCUGUUUCCAUCGUUUGUGUGGAUCGUGCUUGUGCUUAUGGAUGGUGAUUAUGUCGCCUGUCAGAAAACAGACUGGAAUGGAGUGCAUGUGUAUGACGAUCAGUUACAAAUAAAAUGGUGUAAACCAACAGAACCAGUUCCGGGAAGAAAUGAAACCCAUCUUCAAGCUGAGACACUGAAGUUUAUUGCCAGUUCACAGAUGCAUGGUUUCAUUCUGCUCUUGGUCUUGAGCAUUGUCAUGAUCAUUUGUGUACUUCGUCUCUGCUGCUUCUUCGCCCCUCGUGAUCCUCAGGCCCAAUAAAGCAGUGACAGAAACCUGUGGAUGUGGAACAUAAGAAUAGCUGUCACUAGAUGAGAUUUUUACUCUGUGUUAAAGA
Danio aesculapii is the source of this 858-nucleotide long non-coding RNA. RefSeq lists it as uncharacterized. The record is from RefSeq and is a predicted model, not a curated record. NCBI's taxonomy places the organism in Eukaryota, Metazoa, Chordata, Actinopteri, Cypriniformes, Danionidae. The transcript has 4 exons.